This 278-nucleotide ribosomal RNA is filed under the name uncultured bacterium. Its description in RNAcentral is "partial 16S ribosomal RNA". It matches the Rfam family "Bacterial small subunit ribosomal RNA", at positions 80 to 354 of the family's 1533-position model. The record is from RNAcentral.
UACUCCCGCCGGCGACCGGCGCACGGGUGAGUAACACGUAUGAAACCUGCCCGUAGCAGGGGGAUAAGCGGAAGAAAUUCCGUCUAAUACCGCGUAACAACCCGAGGAGGCAUCUCCUCGGGUUUAAAGGAGGCGAUUCCGGCUACGGAUGGUCAUGCGUCGCAUUAGCUAGUUGGCGGGGUAACGGCCCACCAAGGCGACGAUGCGUAGGGGUUCUGAGAGGAAGGUCCCCCACACUAGUACUGAGACACGGACCAGACUCCUACGGAAGGCAGCAG